This 425-nucleotide ribosomal RNA is filed under the name uncultured bacterium. Its description in RNAcentral is "bacterial SSU rRNA". It matches the Rfam family "Bacterial small subunit ribosomal RNA", at positions 355 to 774 of the family's 1533-position model. The record is from RNAcentral.
UAACGAAUAUUGGGCAAUGGGCGCAAGCCUGACCCAGCAAUGCCGCGUGCAGGAGGAAGCCCUUCGGGGUGUAAACUGCUGUCAGGGUUUCGCAAGCAAUGCCGGUUAAUAGCCGGCGGCGCUGAGCAGACCCAGAGGAAGUCUCGGCUAACUCUGUGCCAGCAGCCGCGGUAAGACAGAGGAGGCGAGCGUUGUUCGGAAUUAUUGGGCUUAAAGCGCGUGUAGGCGGCUUGGUAAGUGUUCCGUGAAAGCCCACGGCUCAACCGGGGAACUGCGGGGCAUACUGCCCGGCUUGAGGUCGCUAGGGGUGCCUGGAACUCUAGGUGGAGCGGUGAAAUGCGUAGAUAUCUAGAGGAACGCCAGAGGCGAAAGCGAGGCACUGGAACGAUUCUGACGCUGAGACGCGAAAGCGUGGGGAGCAAACA